This 403-nucleotide ribosomal RNA is filed under the name uncultured prokaryote. RNAcentral describes it as "bacterial SSU rRNA". It matches the Rfam family "Bacterial small subunit ribosomal RNA", at positions 355 to 776 of the family's 1533-position model. The record is from RNAcentral. RNAcentral also lists the same sequence under 1 other name.
UGGGGAAUAUUGCACAAUGGGGGAAACCCUGAUGCAGCGACGCCGCGUGAGGGAAGAAGGUAUUCGUAUUGUAAACCUCUGUCUUCGGGGACGAUAAUGACGGUACCCGAGGAGGAAGCACCGGCUAACUACGUGCCAGCAGCCGCGGUAAAACGUAGGGUGCUAGCGUUGUCCGGAAUUACUGGGUGUAAAGGGAGCGCAGGCGGUCCUUUAAGUUGGAAGUUAAAUCUACGGGCUCAACCCGUAUUCGCUUUCAAAACUGAAGGACUUGAGUGAAGUAGAGGUAGGCGGAAUUUCCGGUGUAGCGGUGGAAUGCGUAGAUAUCGGAAGGAACACCAGUGGCGAAGGCGGCCUACUGGGCUUUUACUGACGCUGAGGCUCGAAAGCAUGGGUAGCAAACAGG